Molecule: ribosomal RNA, 253 nt
Filed under: uncultured bacterium
Lineage: Bacteria
Description: partial 16S ribosomal RNA
Rfam family: Bacterial small subunit ribosomal RNA
Source: RNAcentral
UACAGAGGUCUCAAGCGUUGUUCGGAUUCAUUGGGCGUAAAGGGUGCGUAGGCGGCGCGGUAAGUCGGGUGUGAAAUCUCGGAGCUUAACUCCGAAACUGCAUUCGAUACUGGCGUGCUUGAGGACUGGAGAGGAGACUGGAAUUUACGGUGUAGCAGUGAAAUGCGUAGAUAUCGUAAGGAAGACCAGUGGCGAAGGCGGGUCUCUGGACAGUUCCUGACACUGAGACACGAAGGCCAGGGGAGCAAACGGG